GGUAGCGUGGUCGAGCGGUCUAAGGCGCUAGUUAAAGGCACCAGUCUCUUCGGGGGCGUGGGUUCAAAUCCCACCGCUGCCA
This 82-nucleotide transfer RNA is filed under the name Dreissena polymorpha. It matches the Rfam family "tRNA". Rfam says of the family: Transfer RNA (tRNA) molecules are approximately 80 nucleotides in length. Their secondary structure includes four short double-helical elements and three loops (D, anti-codon, and T loops). Lineage: Eukaryota; Metazoa; Mollusca; Bivalvia; Myida; Dreissenidae. The record is from Rfam by way of RNAcentral.